GACGAACGCUGGCGGCGUGCUUAACACAUGCAAGUCGAACGGAAAGGCCCUGCUUUUGUGGGGUGCUCGAGUGGCGAACGGGUGAGUAGCACGUGAGUAACCUGCCCUUGACUUUGGGAUAACUUCAGGAAACUGGGGCUAAUACCGGAUAGGAGCUCCUGCUGCAUGGUGGGGGUUGGAAAGUUUCGGCGGUUGGGGAUGGACUCGCGGCUUAUCAGCUUGUUGGUGGGGUAGUGGCUUACCAAGGCUUUGACGGGUAGCCGGCCUGAGAGGGUGACCGGCCACAUUGGGACGGAGAUACGGCCCAGACUCCUACGGGAGGCAGCAGUGGGGAAGAUUGCACAGUGGGCGGAAGCCUGAUGCAGCAACGCCGCGUGCGGGAUGACGGCCUUCGGGUUGUAAACCGCUUUCGCCUGUGACGAAGCGUGAGUGACGGUAAUGGGUAAAGAAGCACCGGCUAACUACGUG
This 468-nucleotide ribosomal RNA is filed under the name uncultured bacterium. Its description in RNAcentral is "partial 16S ribosomal RNA". It matches the Rfam family "Bacterial small subunit ribosomal RNA", at positions 28 to 507 of the family's 1533-position model. The record is from RNAcentral.